AGUGAACGCUGGCGGUAGGCCUAACACAUGCAAGUCGAACGGCAGCACAGGAGAGCUUGCUCUCUGGGUGGCGAGUGGCGGACGGGUGAGGAAUACAUCGGAAUCUACUCUGUCGUGGGGGAUAACGUAGGGAAACUUACGCUAAUACCGCAUACGACCUACGGGUGAAAGCAGGGGAUCUUCGGACCUUGCGCGAUUGAAUGAGCCGAUGUCGGAUUAGCUAGUUGGCGGGGUAAAGGCCAACCAAGGCGACGAUCCGUAGCUGGUCUGAGAGGAUGAUCAGCCACACUGGAACUGAGACACGGUCCAGACUCCUACGGGAGGCAGCAGUGGGGAAUAUUGGACAAUGGGCGCAAGCCUGAUCCAGCCAUACCGCGUGGGUGAAGAAGGCCUUCGGGUUGUAAAGCCCUUUUGUUGGGGAAGAAAUCCAGCUGGCUAAUACCCGGUUGGGAUGACGGUACCCAAAGAAUAAGCACCGGCUAACUUCGUGCCAGCAGCCGCCGUAA
This 506-nucleotide ribosomal RNA is filed under the name uncultured bacterium. Its description in RNAcentral is "partial 16S ribosomal RNA". It matches the Rfam family "Bacterial small subunit ribosomal RNA", at positions 29 to 523 of the family's 1533-position model. The record is from RNAcentral.